This 207-nucleotide ribosomal RNA is filed under the name uncultured bacterium. RNAcentral describes it as "partial 16S ribosomal RNA". It matches the Rfam family "Bacterial small subunit ribosomal RNA", at positions 568 to 774 of the family's 1533-position model. The record is from RNAcentral.
CGCGUAGGCGGUUUCGGAAGUCAUGGGUGAAAGUCCUCGGCUCAACCGAGGGAUUGCCUGUGAAACCACGGGACUGGAGUGCUGGAGAGGGAAGUGGAAUUCCCAGUGUAGCGGUGAAAUGCGUAGAUAUUGGGAGGAACACCGGUGGCGAAGGCGGCUUCCUGGACAGACACUGACGCUGAGGCGCGAAAGCCAGGGGAGCGAACG